Molecule: ribosomal RNA, 914 nt
Filed under: uncultured Flavobacteriaceae bacterium
Lineage: Bacteria; Pseudomonadati; Bacteroidota; Flavobacteriia; Flavobacteriales; Flavobacteriaceae
Description: bacterial SSU rRNA
Rfam family: Bacterial small subunit ribosomal RNA
Source: RNAcentral
UUACACAUGCAGUCGAGGGGUAUCCUAGCAAUAGGAGAGACCGGCGCACGGGUGCCUAACGCGUAUGCAAUCUACCUUUCACAAAGGGAUAGCCCAGAGAAAUUUGGAUUAAUACCUUAUAGUAUAGCGAGUUCGCAUGGAUUUGCUAUUAAAGAUUUAUCGGUGAAAGAUGAGCAUGCGUCCCAUUAGCUAGUUGGUAAGGUAACGGCUUACCAAGGCUACGAUGGGUAGGGGUCCUGAGAGGGAGAUCCCCCACACUGGUACUGAGACACGGACCAGACUCCUACGGGAGGCAGCAGUGAGGAAUAUUGGUCAAUGGGCGCAAGCCUGAACCAGCCAUGCCGCGUGCAGGAUGACGGUCCUAUGGAUUGUAAACUGCUUUUGUACAGGAAGAAACACUCGGACGUGUCCGAGCUUGACGGUACUGUAAGAAUAAGGAUCGGCUAACUCCGUGCCAGCAGCCGCGGUAAUACGGAGGAUCCAAGCGUUAUCCGGAAUCAUUGGGUUUAAAGGGUCCGUAGGCGGCUUAAUAAGUCAGUGGUGAAAUCCCUACGCUUAACGUAGGAACGGCCAUUGAUACUGUUAGGCUUGAAUUAUUAGGAAGUAACUAGAAUAUGUAGUGUAGCGGUGAAAUGCUUAGAGAUUACAUGGAAUACCAAUUGCGAAGGCAGGUUACUACUAAUUGAUUGACGCUGAUGGACGAAAGCGUGGGUAGCGAACAGGAUUAGAUACCCUGGUAGUCCACGCCGUAAACGAUGGAUACUAGCUGUUGGGAGCAAUCUCAGUGGCUAAGCGAAAGUGAUAAGUAUCCCACCUGGGGAGUACGUUCGCAAGAAUGAAACUCAAAGGAAUUGACGGGGGCCCGCACAAGCGGUGGAGCAUGUGGUUUAAUUCGAUGAUACGCGAGGAACCUU